RNAcentral lists this non-coding RNA (45 nucleotides) under Echinostoma caproni. Lineage: Eukaryota; Metazoa; Platyhelminthes; Trematoda; Plagiorchiida; Echinostomatidae. The record is from RNAcentral.
GCAUCACUGACGAGUCUCAAACAGGACGAAACAACUGUCCAGUGC